This 650-nucleotide ribosomal RNA is filed under the name Pseudomonadota bacterium. RNAcentral's name for it is "bacterial SSU rRNA". It matches the Rfam family "Bacterial small subunit ribosomal RNA", at positions 73 to 721 of the family's 1533-position model. Lineage: Bacteria; Pseudomonadati; Pseudomonadota. The record is from RNAcentral.
GAGGGGGCAACCCCUUGAGAGUGGCGAACGGGUGAGUAAUAUAUCGGAACGUGCCCAGUCGUGGGGGAUAACGUAGUGAAAAUUACGCUAAUACCGCAUACGAUCUAAGGAUGAAAGCGGGGGAUCGCAAGACCUCGCGCGACUGGAGCGGCCGAUAUCAGAUUAGGUAGUUGGUAGGGUAAAGGCCUACCAAGCCAACGAUCUGUAGCUGGUCUGAGAGGACGACCAGCCACACUGGAACUGAGACACGGUCCAGACUCGUACGGGAGGCAGCAGUGCGGAAUUUUGGACAAUGGGCGAAAGCCUGAUCCAGCCAUUCCGCGUGCAGGAUGAAGGCCCUCGGGUUGUAAACUGCUUUUGUACAGAACGAAAAGGUCUCUAUUAAUACUAGGGGCUCAUGACGGUACUGUAAGAAUAAGCACCGGCUAACUACGUGCCAGCAGCCGCGGUAAUACGUAGGGUGCAAGCGUUAAUCGGAAUUACUGGGCGUAAAGCGUGCGCAGGCGGUUAUAUAAGUCAGAUGUGAAAUCCCCGGGCUCAACCUGGGAACUGCAUUUGAGACUGUAUAGCUAGAGUACGGUAGAGGGGGAUGGAAUUCCGCGUGUAGCAGUGAAAUGCGUAGAUAUGCGGAGGAACACCGAUGGCGAAGG